GACAGAGGAGGCAAGCGUUGUUCGGAUUCAUUGGGCUUAAAGGGCGUGUAGGCGGCUGCGUAAGUGUCGGGUGAAAUCCCGUCGCUCAACGACGGAACUGCUCGGCAUACUGCGCAGCUUGAGGUCGGUAGAGGUGCCUGGAACUCUAGGUGGAGCGGUGAAAUGCGUAGAUAUCUAGAGGAACGCCUGAGGCGAAAGCGGGGCACUGGGCCGAUUCUGACGCUGAGACGCGAAAGCGUGGGGAGCAAACAGG
Molecule: ribosomal RNA, 253 nt
Filed under: uncultured bacterium
Lineage: Bacteria
Description: partial 16S ribosomal RNA
Rfam family: Bacterial small subunit ribosomal RNA
Source: RNAcentral